CCUACGGGUGGCAGCAGUGAGGAAUAUUGGUCAAUGGGCGGGAGCCUGAACCAGCCAAGUCGCGUGAGGGAAGACGGUCCUAUGGAUUGUAAACCUCUUUAGGCGGGGAGCAAUGCCGGGCACGCGUGCCCGGAGGGAGAGUACCCGCAGAAUAAGCAUCGGCUACCUCCGUGCCAGCAGCCGCGGUAAUACGGGGGAUGCGAGCGUUAUCGGGUUUUUUGGGGUUAAAGGGUGCGUAGGGGGAUUUUUAAGUCAGCGGUAAAAUGUCCGGGCUCAACCCGGGGCGGCCGGUGAAACUGGGGAUUUUGAGUGGGCGAGGAGUAUGGGGAAUGCGUGGUGGAGCGGUGGAAUGCAUAG
RNAcentral lists this ribosomal RNA (357 nucleotides) under uncultured bacterium. RNAcentral describes it as "partial 16S ribosomal RNA". It matches the Rfam family "Bacterial small subunit ribosomal RNA", at positions 338 to 693 of the family's 1533-position model. The record is from RNAcentral.